UGCAAGUCGAGCGCGGGAAGCGAACGGAACUCUUCGGAGGGAAGUUCGUGGAACGAGCGGCGGACGGGUGAGUAACACGUAGGCAACCUGCCUGUAAGACUGGGAUAACUCGCGGAAACGCGAGCUAAUACCGGAUAAUACUUAUGAUCUCCUGAUGAUAAGUUGAAAGGCGGCUUUUGCUGUCACUUACAGAUGGGCCUGCGGCGCAUUAGCUAGUUGGUGGGGUAACGGCUCACCAAGGCAACGAUGCGUAGCCGACCUGAGAGGGUGAUCGGCCACACUGGGACUGAGACACGGCCCAGACUCCUACGGGAGGCAGCAGUAGGGAAUCUUCCGCAAUGGACGAAAGUCUGACGGAGCAACGCCGCGUGAGUGAUGAAGGUUUUCGGAUCGUAAAACUCUGUUGUUAGGGAAGAACAAGUGCCAUAGUAACUGAUGGCACCUUGACGGUACCUAACCAGAAAGCCACGGCUAACUACGUGCCAGCAGCCGCGGUAAUACGUAGGUGGCAAGCGUUGUCCGGAAUUAUUGGGCGUAAAGCGCUCGCAGGCGGUUCUUUAAGUCUGAUGUGAAAUCUUGCAGCUCAACUGUAAACGUGCAUUGGAAACUGGAGGACUUGAGUGCAGAAGAGGAGAGUGGAAUUCCACGUGUAGCGGUGAAAUGCGUAGAGAUGUGGAGGAACACCAGUGGCGAAGGCGACUCUCUGGUCUGUAACUGACGCUGAGGAGCGAAAGCGUGGGG
RNAcentral lists this ribosomal RNA (741 nucleotides) under Oceanobacillus neutriphilus. Its description in RNAcentral is "bacterial SSU rRNA". It matches the Rfam family "Bacterial small subunit ribosomal RNA", at positions 56 to 766 of the family's 1533-position model. The record is from RNAcentral. Lineage: Bacteria; Bacillati; Bacillota; Bacilli; Caryophanales; Bacillaceae.